GACGAACCGAGCGAACGUUGUUCGGAAUCACUGGGCUUAAAGGGCGCGUAGGCGGGUGGUCAAGUCUGUGGUGGAAUCCUCCGGCUCAACUGGGGAGGGUCAUUCGAUACUGAUCGACUCGAAGGCAGGAGAGGGUAGUGGAAUUCCCGGUGUAGUGGUGAAAUGCGUAGAUAUCGGGAGGAACACCAGUGGCGAAGGCGACUCCCUGGCCUGUUCUUGACGCUGAGGCGCGAAAGCGAGGGGAGCAAACGGG
This 253-nucleotide ribosomal RNA is filed under the name uncultured bacterium. RNAcentral describes it as "partial 16S ribosomal RNA". It matches the Rfam family "Bacterial small subunit ribosomal RNA", at positions 524 to 776 of the family's 1533-position model. The record is from RNAcentral.